GCUCAAGCCAUCUUCCCACCUCAGUCUCAGCCUCCCGAGUAGCUGGCACCAACUACCUGCUAAUAGCCAUACUACAAACACCCAGCUAAUUUUUUAUGUUUUUACUUUUUGGAGAUGGGGUCUCAUUAUGUUGCCCAGGCUGGUCUCAAACUCCUGGCCUUAAGCGAUUUUCCCACCUCAGCCUCCUAAAUAGCUGGAAUUACAGGAUGAACCACCGUAUUAAGAGGCUCGCCUCUUAAUAUGGUUACAAUAGCAAUUAUGCCUCCAACACAUGCUUUUGGGAGGGACACAUUCAAACCAUAGCAAAUACCUUCUGAAAAGUUGACCUGAACAUUUACAUAAGCUGUCACCCGGGAACUUAUCUUCUAAUGCAGGUGUAAAUGACUAUUAGAGAUACUUUGCUGAAAACUUGGUGAAGAAGCAGAGAGCAUGAGGAUGUUAAGCCCCUUUAGAGAGUAGAGAAGGUGUGGCACGGGAAGGGAGAGCUAGCUAGGAUACUGAGGAAAGGCUGAGUCUUCUUCACACAGCUUGGUGAAGGUUUCCUCGGCACCCAGAUCCCAGCCUCUUUCUUGCAAUGGAUCAAGAUGACUUGGUGACAUUCUCUGCCACCCUAACUUCCAUCUGAUCAUAUUUUCCCCGCCUACACCAUGUUUUAAGCUUAAGGAAUAGUUUUAAGUGGAUUCCUGCCCGCUCCCUCCAGCUUUCUCAUUCUAGGGCCCCCCCUGGCUUUUUUUUUUUCCUGGGGUGGGGGAGGCGGUUGAGACCUGCUUAAUUUAUUCCAAUGACACAACCGUGAUCCCAAAGUGUGCAAAGUUAAAGCCUUCAAUUGCAGCUGAGCAGAGGGCAGGAAUGGUACACCUGGGGAUGGUGGUGAGUCAGGAAUGACAGGCAGGCGGCCAUGACCAGGGCAGCCUCCUCCCCACAUGGCCAGGGACAGGGGAGUGGCCUGAGGAGCAGGACCCAAGGGUAGCCCCGGGCUGGGGAAGGGGGCAGAGACCUCCCCUUGGCCUAGGGCCACUUUGAUGGCCCUGUUCCGUGUGGCAUGGGUGGGGGGGGCGAUUCAUCCGCUACUGUAUGUGAAGAAGCUGGGAAGGUGGGCUUGGUGAAGGAGUAGUAAGUGUCACCUGGGCUGGGAGCUAAAGAGUAGAUAUUUUCUGAUUUGAGAAGACAUCUGAAUGAGACCAGAUGGAAAAGGCAUCCAUCUCUUGAUUUGUACAGGUGAAUUACCCACACUGCGGCUUCACUGGGGGCAAAUUAUCCACAUUCAUGUUGAGAGCAUCCUCCCUUCUGUUUGUCCUAUACUUUCAAGAACUCAGAAGAACCCACACAAUCUCAAACAGUUCAUGGAGUAAAAGGCAGUCAGUUCUAAGGGAAGCUGGCGCACCCAUCGGGCUGUCCUUGGCAUGGGUAGUAACAUUAAGCAGGCUGAUGGGAAGGAAGGUGGGGACCCCUUAAAUUCUCCUAUAUUAACCCUCCAAAGGAGGUUCUUCAUUCCAGCCUUUUGAGAGCCUGAGUCUGGGAUCACUCAGGUUUAUCCCGGGUCAGUCCUUCCAACACCUCUUCAUCUCAAGUAGCUUGGAUUAGCCACUUCAACACCCCACUGAGUUGGCUUCAAGCAAUAAUCUGGACAAUGAAGAGAGGAUCAGGGCCACUCCACAGCCUAGAAAGUGUGGUUUCUGGGCCCUACCCAGCUUCAGGGCCUAAAAGCCACUCUUAGCUCUUCCCAAGAUAUCUCCAGAAUCAGAAUGAGAGAGCUGCAUGGAAGCGACCCCAGGCCCUGUGCGGUGUGGUCAGAGUCCAAGGCCAGGGCGCUUGCCCCAGUCACAUAAAUGGUUAGCAAAAGCCAGGGUGCGGCCCUAGUCCCACCCUCCCCCAGCCCCGAGGGGUCCUUCCAGAACUGCCACCUGAACAGGUGGCUGCUCCGGUGCUGAACCCCUGCCGAGCUGCGGGUGACCUUGGACAUCCACCAAAGUCCCUGCGGCGGGGGGCGGGGUCCGCCCGAGCUCUAGCUCGGUAUAGGGGGCUGCCGCAGCCUGAUCACGUCUCCGCCUCCCUGACUGGGCUGGCUCGUCGCCUGCUGCUCCCUGGCAGCUGUCUGCCGCUGCCGGGAAGGUGAUUGCCAUGUUUGCAGCUCCUUUCCUUGUUUGGAAAGAUCUGGAGGCAGGUGUUCCAGCCAAUGAACCUAAGAAAGGUGGAAGGAAAAGAGACAGGGUCUCACUCU
RNAcentral lists this long non-coding RNA (2221 nucleotides) under Homo sapiens (human). RNAcentral describes it as "HSALNT0365208". Lineage: Eukaryota; Metazoa; Chordata; Mammalia; Primates; Hominidae. The record is from RNAcentral.